GGAAUAUUGGACAAUGGGGGAAACCCUGAUCCAGCAAUGCCGCGUGAGUGAUGAAGGCCUUAGGGUUGUAAAGCUCUUUCGGCGGGGAAGAUGAUGACGGUACCCGCAGAAGAAGCCCCGGCUAACUUCGUGCCAGCAGCCGCGGUAAUACGGGGGGGGCAAGCGUUGUGCGGAAUUACUGGGCGUAAAGGGCGCGUAGGCGGCCUGCUAAGUCACACGUGAAAUCCCUCGGCUCAACCGGGGAACUGCGUGUGAUACUGGCGGGCUCGAAUUCGGGAGGGGGAUGUGGAAUUCCAGGUGUAGCGGUGAAAUGCGUAGAUAUCUGGAGGAACACCGGUGGCGAAGGCGGCAUCCUGGACCGAGAUUGACGCUGAGGCGCGAAAGCUAGGGUAGCAAA
RNAcentral lists this ribosomal RNA (397 nucleotides) under uncultured bacterium. Its description in RNAcentral is "bacterial SSU rRNA". It matches the Rfam family "Bacterial small subunit ribosomal RNA", at positions 358 to 772 of the family's 1533-position model. The record is from RNAcentral.